RNAcentral lists this ribosomal RNA (497 nucleotides) under uncultured bacterium. RNAcentral's name for it is "partial 16S ribosomal RNA". It matches the Rfam family "Bacterial small subunit ribosomal RNA", at positions 28 to 507 of the family's 1533-position model. The record is from RNAcentral.
GCCGAACGCUGGCGGCGUGCCUAAUACAUGCAAGUUGAGCGCUGAAGGUUGGUACUUGUACCAACUGGAUGAGCAGCGGACGGGUGAGUAACGCGUGGGGAAUCUGCCUUUGAGCGGGGGACAACAUUUGGAAACGAAUGCUAAUACCGCCUAAAAACUUUAAAAACAAGGUUUAAGAUUGAAAGAUGCAAUUGCAUCACUCAAAAAUGAUCCCGCGUUGUAUUAGCUAGUUGGUGAGGUAAAGGCUCACCAAGGCGAUGAUACAUAGCCGACCUGAGAGGGUGAUCGGCCACAUUGGGACUGAGACACGGCCCAAACUCCUACGGGAGGCAGCAGUAGGGAAUCUUCGGCAAUGGACGAAAGUCUGACCGAGCAACGCCGCGUGAGUGAAGAAGGUUUUCGGAUCGUAAAACUCUGUUGGUAGAGAAGAACGUUGGUGAGAGUGGAAAGCUCAUCAAGUGACGGUAACUACCCAGAAAGGGACGGCUAACUACGUG